CAGCCGCCACGGGAAAACGGAGGGGGCUAGCGUUGUUCGGAAUUACUGGGCGUAAAGCGCACGUAGGCGGCUUGCUAAGUUAGAGGUGAAAGCCUGGAGCUCAACUCCAGAAUUGCCUUUAAGACUGCCGAGCUAGCAGGUGAGAGAGGUAAGUGGAAUUCCGAGUGUAGAGGUGAAAUUCGUAGAUAUUCGGAAGAACACCAGUGGCGAAGGCGGCUUACUGGCUCAUACUGGACGCUGAGGUGCGAAAGCGUGGGGAGCAAACAGGAUUAGAUACCCCCGUAGUCCCUGUCUCUUAUAC
This 301-nucleotide ribosomal RNA is filed under the name uncultured bacterium. Its description in RNAcentral is "partial 16S ribosomal RNA". It matches the Rfam family "Bacterial small subunit ribosomal RNA", at positions 509 to 807 of the family's 1533-position model. The record is from RNAcentral.